GGACGUUUAGCUCAGUUGGUUCAGAGCGUUCGCCUCACACGCGAAAGGUCGUAGGUUCAAGUCCUACAACGUCCA
Molecule: transfer RNA, 75 nt
Filed under: Bacteroidota bacterium
Lineage: Bacteria; Pseudomonadati; Bacteroidota
Also listed under: 2 other names
Description: Bacteroidetes bacterium (activated sludge metagenome) tRNA-Val
Rfam family: tRNA
About the family: Transfer RNA (tRNA) molecules are approximately 80 nucleotides in length.
Source: RNAcentral